UGCCCAUAUCAGAUAUCUUCAGAAAUCACUUUGGAAAAUGCCUUUAGGAAGGUAGGACACCUCUUCCCAUUUGUCUUAUGAUGGCAGGUCCAGAGCUUACAUGAAGAGGCAGUGAGGCAAAGAUGUAAAGAAUAUGGACUCUUCAGUCAGACCUGGGAUGAACCCCGGCCAUUACCUACUCACGGAGGAGCCUGGGCCACUUAUCUAACCUCUCUGAGGCUCACUUUCUGCGUCUAUCAAAUGAGAAUAGCGCUACUAUCUGCUGUAUGAAACACUGACCGAGUUAAGCAAAAUAAUGCAGGUUAGCUGCUUAAUCCAGUGUCUAGCACAUAGCAAGUGCCAAAAAUGUGAGCGAUUAAAAGGGGUCUUUUACUAGCACUGGCCACAUCCCCAUCUUAUCGCUUUAUCUUCCAUUGAGCAGAGGUUCUGCCAGGUGCAGGGGACAAGGGAGAAGAAAAGACACGCACAUUCUCCUGGGCUUCAAAGUUGUCCCAUCCUUCUGUGAUGUCAUAAUCUGAGCCAUAGCCCACAAAUGUGAACUCCAACAACCCCCAAACCCAGUCCUCACCUCCCACAUGCUUUUCAUCACCCGCUCUCACAUCCCAUCUGGGGCCUCUGCUUCCAUCCUACCAUUUCGCAAGCCUGGCCAACUCAAGCUCCGUGUGCUGCACCUAGAGCAGCCCAUCUCUGUGUCAGGGAGGUGAGCUGCUCAGUUGCCAGAGUAUCAACCUGAGCCCAGGACACUGCCAGACUGCUGAGUCAAAGAGGGUUUAGCAGCCCAUUUUCAUAGACAGACAGGUGAGAGGAGGAUGCUGGACAUGGUCCCAGAGACAUGGGGACUCAAGAAACAUGAAGAUCUGUUCACAGCUAAGGGCACAUUUCCAUGCCGAGAAAUCAGGCGUGAGCGCAAGAGUCCUAUCGUCUACCAGAAAAAGAAAUCUUUGGGAGCAUUCAAGGAGGAAUGGCUUCAUGAUGGCAAUGAGCGGCAUCGCCUGAAAGACAGCCUUCGAGAGUCUCCCAGAGCCGCUGAGGAGCAAGGCAGAGAACUGCAAUCCAAGCAAAUGUGGUGGGUGUGAAGCUUUCAAGAAGUUGGGUCAAGAACAAGGACUGAAAGAGGAGCAUCAAUUUGUAAGUUCAGGAAUGUCUGCUCCAUCUUUGCAGAGACAAGCAAAUAUCAGGGACCACCCAAGUCCAUUCAUUGUGAACUAAGUGAAUCAUGACACAACCACACAAUGGAACACCGUGCAGGAUUAUGAUAUACAGACUGCUGAAGAUCUAGAGUUAUUGAUAUGGAAAGAUGCCCAUGAUGUAUUGUUAGCAAAAAAAAUCAGCCUACAAAACAACAUGCAUAGCAUAAUCCUAUUUAAAAUAUAUCUUUACAUGUGUAUGUAUAUAAGGAAAAGAGUAGAAGGCUAUAUACUGAAAUGUUAAUGACUGUUACCUCUGCUGGCUUUUUUAAUUUUUAUAUAAUUUUAGCGCCUAAAACAAUAUUUUAUGCAGUGAGCUUCUAUGAAUACUAUCAUCAGAAAAAAAAAACCCACCCCAAAACUCUAGAGCUACUUUUAGAUUGACUUUUCAAGAAUAAAGGAUAGGGACCAGGUCUCUACUGUACCAGGCACUGUGGUGGAAGGCAAAAUUUUAAAACUACAUGGUCCCUGCCCUCAGGAGGCUUGAAGUCUGAAUGAGGGGAUAUUGUGUGGAACAACAUGAAAUUUACCAGUAAGUCAUAGAUCUUUAGGAGUAAAAGAAUGAAACAUUAGAUGACAGUGGAUCAUGUUUCCAUGGGUAGACAGACUUAGGAUGGUGGUUGAGUAAAAGAAAAUUGAGGUGCCCAUCCCAGAUUGGUAUAAUAUUGCUCAAGUUGCUCAUGUGCCCUGGGGUUCAGUUUUCCCAUCUGAAAGUAGAGUUAGUAACAGUAGAUGAGGUAAAGCACAUAGCACAGUGCUGCACAGGCUACAUUUAGGAAAUGCCCACCUUUCUGAUUAUUUUAUCAUUCCUACCAAGGGCUUGGAGAAAGCAAGUGUGGGAACAGCUUUAGAUAGAAAAGACUAGCCUUUGUUAUAAUAUUUCUUGAUGCUCAUAGUCAUGUCCCUUUUGAAAAGACACUUCCUCUAGCGUAAGUGUUUAAACAAGUAUUUAAAUUAAAUGGCACUCAUUUUCCCAGGAACAUGCAGAAGUCUGGCCCACACUUCUCCAGCACAAUGCAGUUUUUAUUGUAGUGCUUAAUCUGUUGAUGAAGUCAAUCAAUGGCUUUCCCCGCUUCCUAAGCAAAUGACUUGCUCCACUCCAAUCAAAAGGCACCUUUAAUCUGAUUCCUUUUCACUCAACUCUCCGCCGUGACCCAUAUGCCACUUUAUUCCUCCUUCCCCCUCCUGAAUGUAAUAAGCCUGGUCCAAUUUGCUUGUAUAAACAGAAGGCCGAGGCAGGCGAGGGACGUCACUUGGCCGCAGCGGUUCUGCUUUUUAUACAUUCCUCCUGCCUUGUUUCCUGAGACCUUUCAAUAGAGCCAGACUUGGAGGAGAGUUAUAUUAAACAGUUUGACUCCAAACCUAAACAGCCCCUGAAGCAUUAGUGGUUCAAAGAUCUCCUGGUGCAUUUAUGAAAAGCCAUUGAUCUGGGAAGAGGUGUUAGAGGACUUGAAAUGCACUAAGAAAACUCCUUUACUGGCAGGAGGGAGAGUGGUUUUCAUUAAGGAACUGCCCUUUAUCUCGUCACAUUACUGACCUGCUGGAGCUGAGACGGGCUGCUUCCUUUAGCCUUUAAAGGAAGCUGCCUCUGGUCAGAAACUACGAUAAGAAAGCAUUCAUUUUUAAGACACCCACAAAAGACAGAAGUGUGGCACUGUGGUGGCUUGGUUUUCUGAGUUUAAUCCCCAAAUAUUCUUUAAAUUGUAAACCUUGUGACCACCUCUGAUGCACAGAAGCCUUAAGAAUGCCAGGGGUUAUUUCUCCAAAUGUUUGGUUAUUAGUGAUGGGAAAAAAAAAAAAUCUGUGAAUUAUGUACUUCAGAGCUCAGGGGGACUUGAACUAUCACCUAGAACUGCGUCUACUCUUAACUCAGGGUCAUACAUGUCCCAGAGGACCAUUGGUCAGCUUCAGGGCUGUGUAGGCUCCCACAAAUCCCAUUGUGCGCUUACCAGCUGGGUGAACUGAGAUGAAUUCUCUUGUCUUUGCCACGGUUUUCUCAUCUAGAAACUGGGCAUUGUGACCUCCUAGGAUUCUUGCAAGGAUUAAAUAUAACACAUGUAAAGUGCCUUGUACAGUGCCUGGCACAUAGUUGGCACUUAAUAAAUGCUAUAAUCAUCAUUGCUUGUUAUUACUAUAUUAUUAUUCAGGCAGUCUAACAAUUGUGAGCAAUAUUUUGCAUUUAUUUGCACAUGUCCACUUUCCUAGGAAGAGGUCCAUACAUUUCAUUUUCAUUUCCCCCAAAAGGAGAAGAACCACUAAGCUAGCUAGACUAAUAACUUCUUUAAUUGAUGAGUAAAAUCCUACCCAGAGGUUUAAGUAUUUUUUCGACAAUCACAUGGUAACCUAGAGGCAAGGUGAGAGCUAGAACCCAAAAUGUGUUGAUUCCACUGCUUUCCAAAAUUUUGGCAACACUAGCAAAAGCAGCCCAGGCCUUGCACAAAAGUGACCUAUAAAUAAAUGUAGAAUAGGCCUGGACAUAUAUUGGUGGCUUCAAGGCAAAGGGAGUGUUCAGGGGUCUGGAGGUGUGUGAUGGCUGUGGAGCUGUGAAAACACCACUUGACAUGUAUAAUCAACAGAAGAGGGGGUGUGCAAACCAGAUAGGAGGAGGAAUGGGUGGGGACUCCAGGAAGAAAACACCCCAGUUGCAAAUUCUUCUGCAUUUCCCAUGCAAUAGCAAAGCAAGUUGAUCCCAUAAGCUAUCCGUAAGCUUCACCAAAUCCAAGAGAAUCUAUGCAUAGCUGACUUAGGAAACAGUAGGUAUUUGUUGAAUUCUGAGUGAUUGCACCACUUUCUCCGAGAAGACAUAGCCACAGGACUUUGAGGUUUGCACUCUUUUUGUUAGCCAGAUUCCUUAAAAUACUCUGAUAUUUUCCUAGUUCAUUUGUUCUCAAAGGGUGGCCCUGGGCCAGCACUAUAGCUGUCAUUGGGGGAACUUGUUAGAAAUGCAAAUUUUGGGUCCUCUCCUCGGACCUACUGCAUCAGAGACUGUGGGGUGGGGCCCAGCAAUCUGUUUUAACAGGGUUUCCAGGUAAUUCUGGUGUGCACUCAACUUUGAGAACCACUAAGUUAAUUGGUGUGGCAGAGAAACUAAGCAAGAAAUGAGGGCUUGAAAAAGCCUUCCAGCAACUGAAUCCCUAGAAUACAUUUUUUGUUUGUUUGUUUGAAAUAAACUGGAACUCGAUUAGUAACUUACAUCUUCCUGUGUUUUGCAAACAAGAGAUCUUGGAAGGAAGUAGAAAAUCAAUUUCAAGGCCUUUCAUCUCAGUUACAAUGACACAUUCAUUUUAGCAUUGUGUGGGGAGGGAGGGAAGGAGAGAGCAGGCAGGCAGUGGUUGGGUUUGUGGAGAGGAAUACACAAUUCCAAUGGAAUCCACUGUAAUUUAGGGGCAAUUAGCAUCUGCACAUUCUCCAUUCAUGAGGCUCCAUUAAUCCAGUUAAUCCUCAUCUUCUAAUCAAAAACAAACAUCCUUGAGUGUACUUGAGAUCCUUUUAACACAUUCUCCCCACCUGAAUGCUGUCCUCUGCCUUGUAAUCCAGGGCUUUUAGGAACCACUUCAGCUUUUGGAAAGAGGGGAGCUACCCACCACCUUGGCUGGGUCCUGCCAGCCCCUUGGAAACCUGCCCUCUCCUAGGCUGCACCCUCCCCUGAAACUUGUUCUUUGACUAGACCUGCCCUCUCCCUGCUAUUAUUUAAGUCAUUCUUGAUACUUCUUUGCUAUUCUGGGCAGCCUUCCCUGACGACUUUCUGACUGCCCCUUGGCUAAACACACAAAUGCUUGGAUAAUACUAAUGCCUUGCAUUGCUAAGUCACUUCACUGUUUCCAAAGGCCUUUCCUAGUCCACUUUUCAUUUGAUCCUCCAAACUAUCAUAAUAUCAUUACUAUUUCUCCACUUCCCACCCACUCUCACCCUCCCUCUUCAAUUUACAGAUGGGGGCCACUGAGGCUUUCAGAGAUUUUGUGACCUACCAAACUGGCACAGCUAGUAAAUGGAUGACAAGGUAGGUUCAAACCCAGGACUCCUGAUCCGCAGGCGGAGAUCUAUUAUAGAACACUGUUUCUUUCUGACCACCCACCUAAAUCCAUAAUGCCAAUGAAUAAUGCAUUUGUCCUUUCACUGUGUUUAUGUCUUUGGAAUGUUUUUGUAUCUAUGGAAAUCAGUGCAUCUUCCUUAAUUUUGAAGCCUCUAAGGAGAAGAAACCCUAUCUGUGUAACUCAGGCUCAAAUAAUACUGUAAAGUACUUCUACCUAUUCAAAAUAUUUUCAUCUUUGUCUUAUUUUAUCCACAAAACAAUCAUAUGAGUUAAGGAGGAUAAACAAUAUUACAUCUAUUUAAUGGUAAGAAAACUGAAGUUUGGCCAAUAAAAGCAACUUAUUGGCUCGGAAGUAGAACGUGGUAUGGUUGGGAAUAGAAUACGGCUUUCUAAUUUCUGGUUCUGUAUUUAUCUAUUAGAUAUGUGGUUUUAAAAUUGUGACCCUCGGGCUCUUGCAUGCUUCUUCUUGGAAAGGCGAGGCAGACAGGGCUCAGGGUAUUCUACCACUGGUUUAACUAAAAGCUUUCCUCUCCUGAAUAGCAACUUAGAAGCCCCUGACAGGUCCUCAUUUCCUGUCUUGAGUAUCCAGCAUAGUAGUCGUACUAGUCAGGUGUAAGCAGUGGCUUCAGGAUAAUAUCCUUGCAGAUGGCCCUGGGAAGCCUUGAAGUUUUUGCAAGCAUUUCAGACUCCCUGGCUUGUGAUCAGUGUAGGCAGUGAAAACUGCACUUUGUCCUCAGAGUAGGAAAGUUACCCCUCAGCCAUUUCAUAUUCUGUUCAUUAAUUCAACAAAUAUUUGUUGAGUUACUAUGUGCUAAGUACUGUGUUUGCGUCUGGGACUAGAGGGGUAGAAAAAAAAUAUGGAGGUGAUUUCACCUCUACCCUCAUAGAAGAUGCCUUCUGAUAGAUCUGAAACAGAUAAUCUUACCAAUAAAUAAUUCCAAAUCGUAAUAAAAGCUAUGCAGGAAAGAUCUGUUUGUUGCAUGAAAGAGCAAGGAGUGGGGUCUCACCCAAACAGGAGGUCAGGGAAUUACAGUUCAUGGAGGUUACACCGAAGCUAGAUUUUCUUGGGAGGGCACACCUGCUGCAUGGAACAGCACCGUCUGGCAUGAUGCAGCAAGUGUUUGUCCUGGUUGAGAAAUCCAGAGGAGACACAGCUGGCUGGGGCCCAGUGAGCAAGAACAGAGUAGUAGGAGAUGGGAGACGGGGUCAGGAGGAGCAGGGCAUCGAAUUCAUACACAGCAAGUUGGGUAGUCAUUGCAGGGACUUAAGUAAGAGGUAUCAUGAUUGAUUGACUAUCAUGAUGACUUCGGCUAUUGUCUGGAGAACAAAUUGGAGUUGGUCAAAAGCAUAAACAAAAGAGCUGGGAGGAGAUGAUUAGGUGGUUUUCCUUUGUUACACAGUUAGAGGUGCCCUUGAGGGAUUUUUUAAUUGAAUGUGGAAGAGAGAGCAGACAGCAUGGACAAGACUUAGAAGAGUAAGCAUGGUAGAAAAUAAAAAGCACUACUUUGGAUUAGGUGAUGUGGUUCCAAUCCUGCACCUCCAUGUCCUGGAUGUGUAACGUAGGACAGGCCACAUAACCAACCCCUCUGGCCCUCAUUUUCCCCAUUUGUGACAAGGGGCUAAUAAUCCAAACUCAGCGGGUUAUUAGGAUGCCUAAUUCAUGUCAGUGAAAGUCGACUGUAAAUGGGAAGGUACUAUGAAAAUACAGGAUGUCAUUAUCAUUAACCAUGUCCAUAUAUACAAAGUAAUUAUAAUUACAGCUCUGAGUAAAUAUGAAAGAACAUUUUUUUUAUCUCUGUGUCCUGAAAAUAAGUUACUGGAAACCAAGACUUUUGUGUCCUUAGGUUAGAAGUUUGGAUUUGUAUUUCAUAAAUCUACCUUUUUUAUGCUAGAAACUUUACAAUUGAUGAAUAAAAAUCACUUUAAUCUUUAGAACAAUCACAUUUGCUCAGAAUUAUAAAAAUAGUCAUAUUUAGUUCAUACCAUGUCUUCUAAGCCUUACUCACUUAUGUGCCAGUCAUUUUUUUUUUUUACCAUAUAUGUGUAAAUAGUAACUUGAUGUUUUACUUAAGUUGAACUUAUAUAGAUUCCCCUCCAUGUUUUAGUUUCGUUUUUUUUUUUUUCAGUGUAAAGAAUACUACAUGUGAAGUCAUGGAGUCGAUCUGCUAGUUAUUUUUUUUUUUGUCCUAAUUCACAUGAAAAUAGUUGGAGGACUGUUAACAUAUAAUCUAAACUAUCUAACAGGACCUCAUAUAACACUCAUGAAUACUAUGCUUGGGAAACAAAAGCUUAUUCUACUCAUUUUGUAAAAUGAAUUUUAUUGUGUAUAUUGAAGGAACAACAUGAUAUGGGAUACAAACACAUAGUAAAAAAGAUACCACAGUGAAGCAAAUUAACAUAGCCAUCAUCUCAUAAGUAUCCAUUUUUCCUUGAUUUUUUUUUUUUUUUUUUUUUUUUUUUUGGUGGCAAGAGCAGCUGAAAUCUACUCCUGUAGCAUGAAUCCCAAAUAUAGCACAGUUUUCUUACCCAUAGUCUUCCGGUUGUACAUUAGGUCUCCAGACCUGGCCACCCUCCCUACUUAAUACAGACCUCCAUCUCCCAUCUCCUCCCUAGCUAUCCCCUGCCUGGUAAUCACUGUUUUGUUCUCUAUUUCUGUACAGUUGGGUUUUUGUUUGUUUGUUUGUUUUUAGAUUCCACAUAUACUUGAAACAAUGCAAUCUUUUUCUUUCUUUGUCUGGUUUAUUUCACUUAACACAGUGCACUCCAGGCUCGUCUAUGUUGUGGCAAAGGCAAGAUCUUUUUUAGGGCUGAAUAAUAUUCCAAUCUAGACAUAUACCACAGUGUAUUCAUUUGUCUGUCACCGGACACUUAGGUUGUUGCCUAUGUUCACUGUCACAACGCUGCAGUGAACACAGGCAUGCAGGUCUCUUUAUGAGGCGGUGAUUUCAUUUCCUUUGGGUAUGUGCCCAGAAGAGAGAUUGUUAGGUCAUCUGGUAAUUUUAUUUUUAAUUUCCUUAGGAAUAUCCAUACUAUUUUACAUAACAGCUGGACCAAUCUACAUUCCCAGCAACAAUGUACAAGGGUUCUCUUUUCUUCAUACCCUCACCAACAUUUGUUAUCUUGUGACUUGAUAGUUGCCAUCCAAAUGGGUGUAAGGUGGUAUCUCAUCUGGUUUUGAUUAAUAAUUAAUUAAUGAUGAAUGAUGUUGAGCACCUUUUCAUAUACCUGUGGGCCAUUUUUGCAUAUUCUCUGUAGAAAUGCCUAUUCAGGUCUUUUGCCCAUUUUUAAAUUGGGUUAUGUGGUUUUUCCACUAUUGUAUGAUUUUUUUUUUUUUUUUUUUUUGAGAUGGAGUCUCACUCUGUCACCAGGCUGGAGUGCAGUGGCACAAUCUCGGCUCACUGCAACCUCCACCUCCCGGGUUCAAGUGAUUCUCCUGCCUCAGCCUCCCGAGUAGCUGGGACUACAGGUGUCCACCACCACGCCCGGCUAAUUUUUUGUAUUUUUAGUAGAGACGGGUUUUCACCAUGUUGGCCAGGAUGGUCUUGAUCUCUUGACCUUGUGAUCCACCUGCCUCAGCCUCCCAAAGUGCUGGGAUUACAGGCGUGAGCCACCACACCCAGCCUUUUGUAUGAGUUCUUUAUGAAUUUGGGAUAUUAACCCUUUACCAUAUAUAUGGCUUGUAAAUAUUUUUUUCCCAACCCAUAAGCUGUUUCAUUUUGUUGAUUAUUUCCUUUGCUAUGCAGACACUUUUUAGUUUGAUGUGCUCUCAUUUAUUUGCUUUUGCUUUUGUGUCCUGAGCCUUUGGUGCAAUAUCCAAAAAAAACCUGUCAAGGCCAAUCAAUUGUCCAGGAGCUUUUUCCCCGUGUUCUCUUCUAGGAGUUUUAUGGUUUCAGAUCUUACAUGUAGGUCUUUUAUCCAUUUUGAGUCUAUUUUUUGUGAGUGGUAUAAGUUAAGGGUCCAAUUUCGUUCUUUUACAUGUGGAAAUUCAGUUUUCUCAGCACCAUUUAUUGAACAGACUAUCCUUUUCCCAUUGUGUCCUCUUGGUGCCCUUGUGGAAAAUUAGUUGACUAGUAAACCAUUUAUAUUCUAGGUCUUUUUCAAUAUAAAAUUAACAUGGCCUUCCACUGGCCAAGUGGUGCCUUGGAAUCACCUGGAGUGUUUCUAAAAGUCAUAAGGCCCAGCUAGACGCUAGAUCAAAUAAAUAAAAAUCUCAGUUCAUGGGACCCAAGCCUCAGGAUUUUUAAACAUUUCCUAUGAUUUUUUUUUUUUUUUGAGACAGAGUCUUGCUCUGUCACCCAGACUGGAGUGCAGUGGCUUGCAAUCACUGCUUACUGCAGCCUUGACCUCUCCAUGCUCAGGAGAUCCUCCCACCUCAGCCCCUUAAGUAGCUGGGACUGCAGGUACAAGCCACCACGCCCAGCUAGUGUGUGUGUGUGUGUGUGUGUGUGUGUGUGUGUGUGUGUGUGUGUUUUGGUAGAGACGGGGUUUUGUCAUGUUGCCCAGGCUGGUCUUGAACUCCUGAGCUCAAGCGAUCUGCCCACCUUGGCCUCCCAAAGUGCUGGGAUUACAGGUGUGAGCCACUAGUGCCCAGCAUCCUUAAGAUAAUUUUUAUGUGAACUGAGACUUAGAACCACUAACUUAGAUUCUUGGAUGCCUUCUAGAACUUCUAGGAUUAGACAAAUAUUGUGGAUAGACUGUAAGAGAAGAACCUGGCCAUAGUGGAGACAAUCACUGUUAUGUUAUCCAGAGGAGAGGGUCAUCUUGAUCAAUAAUAUUAACAGUAGUAGUAAGAGUAAUACUGCUACUACUGAUGGCAACAUUGAAGGCCAACUUUAUGUCAGUAUUCUUCCAAGUGCUUUAUAAGAAUUACUUCAUUUAGGCCAGGCACAGUGGCU
This 10115-nucleotide long non-coding RNA is filed under the name Homo sapiens (human). RNAcentral describes it as "HSALNT0097475". The record is from RNAcentral. Lineage: Eukaryota; Metazoa; Chordata; Mammalia; Primates; Hominidae.